RNAcentral lists this ribosomal RNA (497 nucleotides) under uncultured bacterium. RNAcentral describes it as "partial 16S ribosomal RNA". It matches the Rfam family "Bacterial small subunit ribosomal RNA", at positions 28 to 507 of the family's 1533-position model. The record is from RNAcentral.
GAUGAACGCUGGCGGCGUGCCUAAUACAUGCAAGUCGAGCGAACGGACGAGAAGCUUGCUUCUCUGAUGUUAGCGGCGGACGGGUGAGUAACACGUGGAUAACCUACCUAUAAGACUGGGAUAACUUCGGGAAACCGGAGCUAAUACCGGAUGAUAUUUUGAACCGCAUGGUUCAAAAGUGAAUGACGGUCUUGCUGUCACUUAUAGAUGGAUCCGCGCUGCAUUAGCUAGUUGGUAAGGUAACGGCUUACCAAGGCAACGAUGCAUAGCCGACCUGAGAGGGUGAUCAGCCACACUGGAACUGAGACACGGUCCAGACUCCUACGGGAGGCAGCAGUAGGGAAUCUUCCGCAAUGGGCGAAAGCCUGACGGAGCAACGCCGCGUGAGUGAUGAAGGUCUUCGGAUCGUAAAACUCUGUUAUUAGGGAAGAACAUAUGUGUAAGUAACUGUGCACAUCUUGACGGUACCUAAACAGAAAGCCACGGCUAACUACGUG